GACGAACGCUGGCGGCGUGCUUAACACAUGCAAGUCGAACGGAAGGGCCCUGCUUUUGUGGGGUGCUCGUUUGGCGAACGGGUGAGUAACACGUGAGUAACCUGUCCUUGUCUUUGGGAUAACUUCAGGAAACUGGGGCUAAUACCGGAUAGGAGCUCCUGCUGCAUGGUGGGGGUUGGAAAGUUUCGGCGGUUGGGGCUGGACUCGCGGCUUAUUCGCUAGUUGGUAGGGUAGUGGCUUACCAAGGCUUUGACGGGUAGCCGGCGUGAGAGGGUGACCGGCCACAUGGGAAGUGGGACAGGGUCCAGACUCCGACGGGAGGCAGCAGUAGGGAACCUUCCGCAAUGGGCGAAAGCCUGACGGAGCAACGUCGCGUGAUUGAUGAAGGUCGUCGGAUCGUAAAACUCUGUUAUUAGGGAAGAACAUAUGUGUAAGUAACUGUGCACAUCUUGACGGUACCUAAUCAGAAAGCCACGGCUAACUACGUG
RNAcentral lists this ribosomal RNA (488 nucleotides) under uncultured bacterium. RNAcentral's name for it is "partial 16S ribosomal RNA". It matches the Rfam family "Bacterial small subunit ribosomal RNA", at positions 28 to 507 of the family's 1533-position model. The record is from RNAcentral.